RNAcentral lists this ribosomal RNA (478 nucleotides) under uncultured bacterium. RNAcentral's name for it is "partial 16S ribosomal RNA". It matches the Rfam family "Bacterial small subunit ribosomal RNA", at positions 28 to 507 of the family's 1533-position model. The record is from RNAcentral.
GACGAACGCUGGCGGCGUGCUUAACACAUGCAAGUCGAACGUGAUUUUUGUGGAAAUUCUUUCGGGAAUGGAAAUGAAAUGAAAGUGGCGAACGGGUGAGUAACACGUGAGCAACCUACCUUACACAGGGGGAUAGCCGUUGGAAACGACGAUUAAUACCGCAUGAGACCACAGAGUCGCAUGAUAUAGGGGUCAAAGAUUUAUCGGUGUAAGAAGGGCUCGCGUCUGAUUAGCUAGUUGGAAGGGUAAAGGCCUACCAAGGCGACGAUCAGUAGCCGGUCUGAGAGGAUGAACGGCCACAUUGGAACUGAGACACGGUCCAAACUCCUACGGGAGGCAGCAGUGGGGAAUAUUGCACAAUGGGGGGAACCCUGAUGCAGCGACGCCGCGUGAGCGAAGAAGGUUUUCGAAUCGUAAAGCUCUGUCCUAUGAGAAGAUAAUGACGGUAUCAUAGGAGGAAGCCCCGGCUAAAUACGUG